UGCCUCAGUAACGGCGAGUGAAGCGGCAACAGCUCAAAUUUGAAAUCUGGCCGCAAGGUCCGAGUUGUAAUUUGCAGAGGAUGCUUUUGGCGAGGUGCCUUCCGAGUUCCCUGGAACGGGACGCCAUAGAGGGUGAGAGCCCCGUACGGUUGGACCACCGAGCCUCUGUAAAGCUCCUUCGACGAGUCGAGUAGUUUGGGAAUGCUGCUCUAAAUGGGAGGUGUACGUCUUCUAAAGCUAAAUACCGGCCAGAGACCGAUAGCGCACAAGUAGAGUGAUCGAAAGAUGAAAAGCACUUUGAAAAGAGGGUUAAAAAGUACGUGAAAUUGUUGAAAGGGAAGCGUUUAUGACCAGACUUGGGCUUGGUUGAACAUCCGGCGUUCUCGCCGGUGCACUCUGCCAGUCCAGGCCAGCAUCAGUUUGUCCCGGGGGAUAAAGGCGGUGGGAAUGUGGCUCCCCCGGGAGUGUUAUAGCCCGCCGUGUAAUGCCCUGGGACGGACUGAGGAACGCGCUUCGGCACGGAUGCUGGCGUAAUGGUCAUCAACGACCCGUCUUGAAACACGGACCAAGGAGUCGUCUUCGUAUGCGAGUGUUCGGGUGUCAAACCCCUACGCGUAAUGAAAGUGAACGUAGGUGAGAGCUUCGGCGCAUCACCGACCGAUCCUGAUGUUCUCGGAUGGAUUUGAGUAAGAGCAUACGGGGCCGGACCCGAAAGAAGGUGAACUAUGCCUGUAUAGGGUGAAGCCAGAGGAAACUCUGGUGGAGGCUCGCAGCGGUUCUGACGUGCAAAUCGAUCGUCAAAUAUGGGCAUGGGGGCGAAAGACUAAUCGA
Molecule: small RNA, 831 nt
Filed under: Sarocladium oryzae
Lineage: Eukaryota; Fungi; Ascomycota; Sordariomycetes; Hypocreales; Sarocladiaceae
Description: eukaryotic LSU rRNA
Rfam family: Eukaryotic large subunit ribosomal RNA
Source: RNAcentral